CCCUUAGAUGUUCUGGGCCGCACGCGCGCUACACUGACGAAUGCAACGAGCUUAUAACCUUGGCCGAAAGGUCUGGGUAAUCUCCAAAUUUCGUCGUGAUGGGGAUAGAUUAUUGCAAUUAUUAAUCUUCAACGAGGAAUGCCUAGUAAGCGCAAGUCAUCAGCUUGCGUUGAUUACGUCCCUGCCCAUUGUACACACCGCCCGUCGCUCCUACCGAUUGAAUGGUCCGGUGAAGCGUUCGGACCGUGGCCUUUGGACGGUUCGCCGUCUGUUGGCUGCGGGAAGUUCGUUAAACCUUAUCAUUUAGAGGAAGGAGAANUCGUAACA
Molecule: ribosomal RNA, 327 nt
Filed under: uncultured eukaryote
Lineage: Eukaryota
Description: partial 18S ribosomal RNA
Rfam family: Eukaryotic small subunit ribosomal RNA
Source: RNAcentral